GUCUGGGUUUAAAGAAAAUUAGGUUAGCAUUCCCUUCGACAGGAAUGGAAAAAAUUCUGGUGACCUAACACCACACACAGUCAUUUAAGAUUUCAGCCCCUCUUUGUUGCCCUCUAACAAUGUAUUUUU
This is a small nuclear RNA of Phacochoerus africanus (Common warthog), 129 nucleotides long. NCBI's taxonomy places the organism in Eukaryota, Metazoa, Chordata, Mammalia, Artiodactyla, Suidae. The record is from RefSeq and is a predicted model, not a curated record.